Molecule: non-coding RNA, 43 nt
Filed under: Schistosoma mattheei
Lineage: Eukaryota; Metazoa; Platyhelminthes; Trematoda; Strigeidida; Schistosomatidae
Source: RNAcentral
AUCCAGCCGACGAGUCCCAAAUAAGACAAAACAUGUCUUGGAU